AAUUCACUAACCAAACCAGCCCCUUUCUCUCCCAAAAGGAAACCUAGCCGUCACGACCACCCCACCCCACCCCCCAUCACGUCACUUCCGCCACCGCACCCAUCGGACCACCGGACAAACUCCUGCGCCGACAUCACCCAUCGCCUAUCACCUAUCACCUUUUCCCUUUUUGAAGACGUUUCCCAAAAGCUGUAAAGGGAGAGAUUCUUAAAUCCUUCGGUCUGGGAGAUAAUCGUCCUUCAAUUUGAUGAACAAUGGCAAGAACCACCAUACUCUACACCCCAACGGCUCUUUCCCUUCCCAAUCAGUCUGCAAAGUUCUCGGCUGAGCAAAGACCACCUCAAGCGGAUUCCGAGACUCGACGACGAUAAUAGCCUCAGUUUGCUGUCACGGACAAGGUAAUUCUCAUUUUUAUCUUGGUAUUUUAUUCCAGUUCUGUUAGUUCAGGUCGGGUUAGUUCAAUUCAGUUUUAUGAUUUGAAUGUUCCUGUUUUCUUUUAGCUCUUGAGUGUAAGGUAUGGAGUUAUAUUCUUUCCCUUUUAUUUAGCUCAUGAUAAUGUGUUAGGAAAUCCAUUUAGAUGCUAAUAGAAUGUAAGCAUGUGUGGAUAUAUAUCUUGUGAUGUAAUUUGUUCAGCUAUGUUUUGUUCUCUGGUAAUGUAUAUUAGUUUAUGUAGCUUCUCUAAUAAUAUAGACUAGUGUAUAUUGCUUUCUCUCUGUGUCUCUAGUGAUGUUAGAUUAAAGAAUGUUUGUUAAAUCCUGUUUUGUCUUUAGAACAGUGUUCACCAGCACGAUAAAACCUCGGUCGUUUCCUUCAAUAUUAAUUGAAUUCCCUCUAUGAGACAUCUAUUCCUUUUAUACUAAGUUAGUAGUUAAUGCCAUUGGAAUUUUGUUUCAGUGAGAAUCAGCGCAUUUGAAAUUGAAAUUUAUUUUCAACUGAAAGCAUGUUUAAUACAAAUAUGUGUCAAAACCCAGUUUUUCCUAUGUAAACAACUCCCUUAACAGUUUGGAUUGUCUUUUAAUAAGUACGGUGUGCGUUAAAGAAGCAGCCCUUCGUCUCUUCUCAUUAUUUAUCUAUUUUCCUCUCUGCUUUCCAAUGAUUUAUUAUUGUGUUUAGUUGUUUAACUCUCCUUGCUGUGGUUGCGAUAAAUUCUGUUUGGGAAGUAUAAUUCAAAUGUUUAGCCCCUCUCCACCAGUUUAAAUGGAAGCCUGAACCUUUUUUGGUGCAGUGGCACACUGAUUUGUCUAGUGUAUCCUAAUCAAAAAGACUUUAGUUCGUUAUCUUUUUUUCUAGUAUACAUAGUAAAAUCAGUAACUGACCAAUUAGCUGAGCUUAUGGAUUAAUAGUUCCUUAGUACUCUUAGUGUUGUUGGUUAAGAUGUUUCAGUUUCCCCUUGUUUAAAUCAAAGACAAUAGAUUAGUUUAAUGUGGAAUGACUCUUGAACUUCAGAUUUGUCCCAGGGGAAACCUUUUGGGAAAUAGUUUAUAGUAAUGAGAGCUUCUGAUGUUAAUCUUUGUUGAACUUUACCAACCAAGUUAAUGGUUCAAUAUUAGCAUGAAUCCGAGAAAUUUCUAGCUAAUAACUAAGUCUAUCUCAUUAGAAUAGGAUGCUUUCACCCUUCCUUCUUUGUUGUGAUUCAUACUGGCUUUGCUCUAAGUUUAGUUGGUCUAUAGUGUUAUACUCAGUCGGAAUGGAUCCCUAGCAUUGUUGCAAAUAAAUUGAGGUGUUAACUGGGUGUGAGAAGAAGAGUCCUUACUUAAAUGAAUCUGUCCCAAAGGUGAAAUCCAAACCUCCCUUUUCUCAAAACUAUCUGUUGCCAUACAUGCUUUAACUGAAUGAAAUGUUCAAAAUUGGCUACUGAUUUUUAUCCAAAACUCUCUUUCAAAUAAUUGGUUCAACUCUAGUAUUCCUUAUAUCUUUGAGAAAUAUUUUGAAUGAUCCAAUCUAACUCUUUAAAGUUGGUUUAAGUUCAUGAGUUUGCUAAAUAUGUCAUCCUCUAGUUUUUUUUUUUUUUUUUUUGCAUAUUCAAAAUACCAAACACAACUAUUGCCUAGUUCAACCAAGGAAUAUGGACUCCUUCUCUGUGAAAUUUGGGGCAUAUUCGAUUCUGCCUCCUUUAUCUAAACAAAGAUUUAUUUUUACUGAAGUUUUAUUACUUUUACAAAUCAAUCUUGUUGAAAGUUCAGCAUCAUGGUUCAAAUUUGAGAAAAUAGUGAUGGUUUAGCAUGCCUAUUGUUUUUCUCUUAGAGUUGGCUAUGAUAUUUUCCUUUAGCUUUAAAACUGGAGUAGUCAAUAUGCCAAUUGAGUAAAAGAUAGAUCACUGUUGAUGUGUGCUUGUGUCCAUAAUUAGAAAUACAACUUAUGUGUGUAACUAUUUUAAAACUCUAUUCCAUCUUUAGAUCUGAACAUGGAAUUUAGUUCAUUAUGUGUUAUAUUGAAGUUCAACUUGGGGACAAAUCUUUAAAAGAGCUACUAAACAUGUUUUUCUUUUGAAGUUUGCUUGGUUUUAGUCAACCUGCUCUCUUUAAAUGUGUUAGUUUAAGAUAUACACCAUCUGUUUUGAGUUAAUUGCCUCUGAUGAUCUAAGACAUUCCCAAGUAACUGUAAUAUUGAUUUCUGAGGUGUCUGUUGACUCAUAUAGCUUCCAAAACACUAAGUUGAUUCUGCCCUUUUGUCGAAACAAAGAUUUACUUUUGUUGAAAUUUAUUGCUAUUACAAAUCAGUCUGGUUAAGUUCAACAGUGAUUUUGUCUCAAUUUUCUUUACCGUCCUAUUCAAAGAAAUAGAUUAGGAGUUAGAACAUGUUCUACUUGGAUUUAGAACAGAUGAAAAGAAUAGGCUUGAACCCAACACUAUUAAGAAAGAAUGAAGAAGAGGAUCUUAACUUGAACUUGCCAUGAUUACCUCUUUCAACUCUCUAAAGUUUGCAUAACUCUUGGUGAUAAAGGCUAAUGUGGAACCUUGAUUUUUCUCUAAUGAUGUUAUUAUCUGAUGAUUGCAUAUAGCUUCUGUUAUGCAUUGAACUCUGUUAUGUUAUUCUUUUCCUACUGAUUAUGCUGGUUGAAAGUCAAGGAAAACUUUGGUAUGGUUUAGCCUCCUCCAACAACCUACCAUGUCGAGGUUCUAGAAAUCUUUGGAUCUUGUGUGGCGUCGGAAACGCAGAUGGUGGGAGCCCCUUUUGUUGCCUUAGUCUUUUAAGCCUGAUGCUUUGUUCUAUAUGGUCAAUCUUGGAAAGUUGAUAUUUUUUUUAAGAAUUAUGUUGCGUUGAUGCACUCCUUCCCAUAUGCUGGUUUGGUAGCUACUAAAGCCUUGUGCAUCAAGCUAUUUUGAGUGUUUGUUGUCCCUGUUCUUUGUCAAAGACUGCCUUAAAACUAAGUAGCUUUCAAAGGAACCUUAUUUCAUUUGGCCACGGCUUUUUGAUUAGAAACUAGUGCUGAAUGACUACCAAACUUGAAUCUAUUGUUGUCUUAAACCAUUUUCAAGAUUUUGAUUAAAUAUGGCAGAUGAGGUACUUAUUUCAUCUUAUUAAAACCUUCUUUAGGGAUACUCUUCCUGAUUUCUCAUCCUUCAAUUCUUUAAAGUGACUAAUACUUGGUUUUGCUUUCCAGAUUGUUCUCUUUCACUAUUAUGUACUGUUAUGUUUCAUAGACUCUCUUAAAGUUGCGGGGUAACAAAAUAUGAGUCUGUUGGAUGCAAGCAUGAAGGAUUUCUUUUAGCUCUACAUCUACCUGAUUCAAAGUGUGAACAUUCUAUUGAGUUUAGGAAUGUAGCUGUUUCUUAUUAGACCUUUGAAUGAUGUUGGAAUUACGUUAAUCACCCCUCUCUUAAAAGAUCAAAGGGGAAGUCCUAUUUGAAUUCUAGAAAUCUCUUAAUAGGCUUACUUUAUCUCAAACAGCGUGUUGUGCUUACCAGUUGAUUUAAUGUGUUAUUAUGCAACUCUAAUCCUUUUCUUUUCUUUCUUUUUACAUGAACACCAUGGGAGCUUGUUGGAGUUGUGGCUCAACUCUAAUUCUGCCCAGGUCAUAGGAGCAGUCAGUAGCAGAUUUAUUUGCUCGUGUCUAGCCGUCCCUUACUUUCGCGUCAAAAGAAUCCACGUCCCUCUUCCUCCCUUUAAAUUUUAUAUCUUUUGUAUUACUAUAUGUUAUUUGCACCCUUUGACUAACAUCUUUUAUGGGUUUGUAUUUGUAGUAUUUUGUUUCUUGCUUGUUUGUGAACUCGUGAAUGGCCGAGCCUUGUCAUUGGCCACUUUUCCUUAGAUAUAAAUCUUGGUUUAAGGGUA
Molecule: long non-coding RNA, 4275 nt
Organism: Lycium barbarum (goji berry)
Lineage: Eukaryota; Viridiplantae; Streptophyta; Magnoliopsida; Solanales; Solanaceae
Exons: 2
Source: RefSeq, a predicted model, not a curated record